This 440-nucleotide ribosomal RNA is filed under the name uncultured bacterium. Its description in RNAcentral is "partial 16S ribosomal RNA". It matches the Rfam family "Bacterial small subunit ribosomal RNA", at positions 338 to 795 of the family's 1533-position model. The record is from RNAcentral.
CCUACGGGUGGCAGCAGUGGGGAAUAUUGCACAAUGGGGGCAACCCUGAUGCAGCGACGCCGCGUGAGUGAAGAAGGAAUUCGUUAUGUAAAGCACUAUCAGCGGGGAAGAAAAUGACGGUACCUGAGUACGAAGCCCAGGCUAACUACGUGCCAGCAGCCGCGGUAAUACGUAGGGGGCAAGCCGUAUCCGGAUUUACUGGGUGUAAAGGGAGCGUAGACGGCAGUGCAAGUCUGGAGUGAAAGGCGGGGGCUCAACCCCCGGACUGCUCUGGAAACUGUACGGCUGGAGUGCAGGAGAGGGAAGUAGAAUUCCUAGUGUAGCGGUGAAAUGCGUAGAUAUUAGGAGGAACACCAGUGGCGAAGGCGGCUCACUGGACUGUAACUGACGCUGAGGCUCGAAAGCGUGGGGAGCAAACAGGAUUAGAUACCCUAGUAGUC